Long non-coding RNA from Equus caballus (horse), 2205 nucleotides. The record is from Ensembl. NCBI's taxonomy places the organism in Eukaryota, Metazoa, Chordata, Mammalia, Perissodactyla, Equidae.
AGUUUGAGGAUAUUUUUGUAGAUUCCUUGGUGAUUUUCUACGUGGAAAAUCAUGUCAUCUGCAAACACAUCUUCCUUUCUGGUCUGUAUGACUUUUGUUCCCAUACUUCACUGGGUACAACUGACAGCAGUACGUUGAAUAAGAGUGGUCAGAGAAGACCUCUUUGCCUUGUUCCCAAUCUUAAGGGGAAAGCGUUCAGUUCUUCACCAUUAAGUAUGUUGGCUGUGGGUGUUUCUUUGCAAAUGUUCUUUAUUAAGGUAAGAAAGUGUUCCUCUAGUCUCAUUUUUCUGAGAGUUUUUGUCAUGAAUGAGCAUUGAAUAUUGUCAAAUGCCUUUUCUGCAUCAAUUUAUAUGCUCGUGAUUUUUCUUCUUUAGCCUGUUAAUAUGGUGGAUUCCACUGAUAGAUUUUUGAAUAUGGAAUCAGCCUUGCAUCCUUGGGAUAAAUUCCAUUUGGUCGUGGAGUACAAUUCUUUUUAUCUAUUGCUGAGUUCUACUUGUCAAUAUUUCAUUAAGGAUUUUUGUGUCUAUAUUCAUGAGGAAUAUUGAUCUGUAGUUUUCUUUUUUGUACUGUCUUUGUCUGGUUUUGAUAUCAGGGUAAUACUAGCUUCAUAAAGUGAAUCGGGAAGUGUUCCCUCUUCCUGUAUUUUCUGAUAAAGAAUAUAUAGAGACAGUAUUAAUUCUUCUUUAAAAACUUGGUAAAAUUCUCCAGUGAAACCAUCUGUAUCUGGAGAUUUCUUUUUAGGGAAGUUUUUAAAUUACAGAUUCAAUUUCCUUAACAGUUGUAGGCAUAUUUAGAUUAUCUAGUUCAUAUUGAGUGAGUGUUUUUCGAGGAACUGGCCCAUUUUAUCUAAGUUGUCAAAUACUGUCUGUUCUCAACAGCUUUUUAAAAUUCGCUUUCCUUUAUUAGUUCAUCUCACAUUGCAAUGAGAUGCUGCUUCCUCCACACACCUUCCCUGCCCUCAUUCAAAAAGCGUUUUUCCCCACCCAGAACCAGCAUCUUGGACCCUCAGGCAGAGCCCAGGAUGGGGCAGUCCCCAUGGAAACUCGCAGAGUUUCAGGGAACCAGCUGGCUUUGGGCUUCUCUAAAGUGUCCUGGAACUUGAGAGGGCUGGAGACCCUCCAAGUCACCUGAGCCUCCCUGGAGAGGCCUCAGAAGAGGGGAGGUAGGAGCCCCUUCCUCCAGACCAGGUUUGAGAAGACACUCCGGGGGCCCCAGCACCACUAGGUGGCGCUCAGAACACACAGUUGCUUGCAGGGCCGCGGGUGGAUCGGAGAAGUUCAGCUCAGCAGGACGGGUCUGUGGGGCAGAUUCUGUUCUUUCAGUGAGACAAACUCGAGAGGCUAGAGCCUGCAAGGACCCCAGGAGCUCUGGGCUGGUGGAGUUUGUAACUCUUUCUCAGACUUCCCUGCAAAUAUGCUACGGCUUGAGAGGGUGGUGCUGACUGGAGGCUCCUGGGAGAUGUCAGAAGCACCAAAAAGCAGCUGCUGAGACAAGAGCGUCCACACUGAGAGAAGAGCGUCCACACGGAGACAAGAGCGUGCACACGGAGACACGAGCGUCCACACGGAGACAAGAGCGUCCACACGGAGACAAGAACGUCCACACGGAGACAAUAAUGUCCACAGGGAGACAACAACCUCCCCACUGAGACAACAAUGUCCACAUGGAGACAAGAACGUCCACAUGGAGACAAGAGCGUCCACACGGAGACAAGAGCGUCCACACGGAGACAAGAGUGUCCACAUGGAGACAAGAGCGUCCACACUGAGAGAAGAGCGUCCACACGGAGACAAGAGUGUCCACACGGAGACACGAGCGUCCACACGGAGACAAGAGCGUCCACACUGAGAGAAGAGCGUCCACACGGAGACAAGAGCGUCCACACGGAGACAAGAGCGUCCACACGGAGACAACAACCUCCCCACUGAGACAACAAUGUCCACAUGGAGACAAGAGCGUCCACAUGGAGACAAGAGCGUCCACACGGAGACAAGAGCGUCCACACAGAGACAAGAAUGUCCACAUGGAGACAAGAGUGUCCACACAGAGAUAAGAACGUCCACACUGAGACGAGAGUCCACACGGAGACAAGAGCGUCCACACGGAGGCAAGAGCAUCCACACAGAGACAAGAGCAUCCACACUGGGACAACAAUGUCCACACGGAGACAAGAACACCCACGCAGAGACAAGAGGGGCCACCUGG